AACGGCUGGCGGCGUGCCUAAUACAUGCAAGUCGAACGGUCUUUCUAUGGAAGCUUGCUUCCACUGAGAAGAUAGUGGCGAACGGGUGAGUAACACGUGGGUAACCUGCCCAUAAGAGGGGGAUAACAUCCGGAAACGGGUGCUAAUACCGCAUAGUUUUCUUGAUCGCAUGAUCGGGAAAGGAAAGACGGCCUUUGUGCUGUCGCUUAUGGAUGGACCCGCGGCGUAUUAGUUAGUUGGUGAGGUAAUGGCUCACCAAGACGAUGAUACGUAGCCGACCUGAGAGGGUGAUCGGCCACAUUGGGACUGAGACACGGCCCAAACUCCUACGGGAGGCAGCAGUAGGGAAUCUUCCGCAAUGGACGAAAGUCUGACGGAGCAACGCCGCGUGAGUGAAGAAAGGUUUUCGGAUCGUAAAACUCUGUUGUCAGAGAAGAACAAGUUGGAGAGUAACUGCUCCAGCCUUGACGGUAUCUGACCAGAAAGCCACGGCUAACUACGUGCCAGCAGCCGC
This 514-nucleotide ribosomal RNA is filed under the name uncultured bacterium. Its description in RNAcentral is "bacterial SSU rRNA". It matches the Rfam family "Bacterial small subunit ribosomal RNA", at positions 35 to 518 of the family's 1533-position model. The record is from RNAcentral.